AUGGUUGUUUGGCAAGAAGUGCAGUUCCCACCUCCUCCCUCGAUGGCAUUCCUUGUGGCCUCGGCUGGCUUCCCCACGCUCCUCUUUCCAUCCCGGCAUAGUCCUGCAGUUCUCUCCAUUUCGGUCACCGGCGACGGCGAUGGCGAGGCUCAGAUCCCCAUCAUCGACCACCAAAGGCUGCUGCUGGAGCUAGACCAUGGUGUUAACCAUAGUGUCCCAGAUGAUGUGGUGGAGAGCAUGAAGCCCAACAUCCAACAAUUCUUCCAGCUACCCGCAGAGACGAAGAAGCGAUUCGCUCAGGAGCAAGGGCAGCUAGAAGGCUAUGGUCAACUAUUUGUUGUCUCUGAGGAUCAGAAGCUCGACUGGGCUCACAUGCUCUUCCUCUACACACAGCCACCUGAGAUGAGGAACACCAAGUUCUGUCCUGACCAGCCUGCUACCUUCAAAUCGGCGCUGGACAGAUAUUCUUGUGCGGUGAAGGAUGUAUCGGACUCCCUUUUGGCUAUGAUGGCCAAAACUUGUGAAUUUGAUGUGUUCAAGUGCGAGUUGUACAGAUUUGUGUCCUAG
Molecule: ribosomal RNA, 567 nt
Filed under: Triticum aestivum (bread wheat)
Lineage: Eukaryota; Viridiplantae; Streptophyta; Magnoliopsida; Poales; Poaceae
Description: partial small subunit ribosomal RNA
Source: RNAcentral